This 402-nucleotide ribosomal RNA is filed under the name uncultured prokaryote. RNAcentral's name for it is "bacterial SSU rRNA". It matches the Rfam family "Bacterial small subunit ribosomal RNA", at positions 355 to 774 of the family's 1533-position model. The record is from RNAcentral.
UGGGGAAUAUUGGACAAUGGGCGCAAGCCUGAUCUAGCCAUGCCGCGUGAGUGAUGAAGGCCUUAGGGUUGUAAAGCUCUUUCGCCCGCGAAGAUAAUGACGGUAGCGGGAGAAGAAGCCCCGGCUAACUUCGUGCCAGCAGCCGCGGUAAUACGAAGGGGGCUAGCGUUGUUCGGAAUCACUGGGCGUAAAGCGUACGUAGGCGGAUCGUUAAGUCAGGGGUGAAAGCCUGGAGCUCAACUCCAGAACUGCCUUUGAUACUGUCGAUCUUGAGUCCGGGAGAGUUGAGUGGAACUGCUAGUGUAGAGGUGAAAUUCGUAGAUAGUGGCAAGAACACCAGUGGCGAAGGCGGCUCACUGGCCCGGUACUGACGCUGAGGUACGAAAGCGUGGGGAGCAAACA